This 482-nucleotide ribosomal RNA is filed under the name uncultured bacterium. RNAcentral's name for it is "bacterial SSU rRNA". It matches the Rfam family "Bacterial small subunit ribosomal RNA", at positions 501 to 987 of the family's 1533-position model. The record is from RNAcentral.
CUACGUGCCAGCAGCCGCGGUAAUACGGAAGGUCCAGGCGUUAUCCGGAUUUAUUGGGUUUAAAGGGAGCGUAGGCUGGAGAUUAAGUGUGUUGUGAAAUGUAGACGCUCAACGUCUGAAUUGCAGCGCAUACUGGUUUCCUUGAGUACGCACAACGUUGGCGGAAUUCGUCGUGUAGCGGUGAAAUGCUUAGAUAUGACGAAGAACUCCGAUUGCGAAGGCAGCUGACGGGAGCGCAACUGACGCUUAAGCUCGAAGGUGCGGGUAUCAAACAGGAUUAGAUACCCUGGUAGUCCGCACAGUAAACGAUGGAUGCCCGCUGUUGGUACCUGGUAUCAGCGGCUAAGCGAAAGCAUUAAGCAUCCCACCUGGGGAGUACGCCGGCAACGGUGAAACUCAAAGGAAUUGACGGGGACCCGCACAAGCGGUGGAUGAUGUGGAUUAAUUCGAUGCAACGCGAAGAACCUUACCUGUCUUGACAU